UGUAGGAGCCGGCUUGCUGGCGAUAGAGGUGGUUCAGCCAGUGACGAUUUCGACUGAAUGUCCGCCAUCGCCAGCAAGCCGGCUCCCACA
RNAcentral lists this unclassified non-coding RNA (90 nucleotides) under Pseudomonas migulae. The record is from RNAcentral. Lineage: Bacteria; Pseudomonadati; Pseudomonadota; Gammaproteobacteria; Pseudomonadales; Pseudomonadaceae.